Molecule: ribosomal RNA, 378 nt
Filed under: uncultured eukaryote
Lineage: Eukaryota
Description: partial 18S ribosomal RNA
Rfam family: Eukaryotic small subunit ribosomal RNA
Source: RNAcentral
CAAUAGCGUAUAUUAAAGUUGUUGCAGUUAAAAAGCUCGUAGUUGGAUUUCGGGUGGGACGCAGCGGUCUCGCAUUGCGUUUGUACUGCUGCAGCCCUCCUUCUUGCCGGGGGCGGCCUCUCGGACUUCACUGUCUGGGGGUCAGAAUCGGCGAUGUUACUUUGAGUAAAUUAGAGUGUUCAAAGCAAGCUUACGCUCUGAAUAUAAUAGCAUGGGAUAACACGACAGGACUCUGGCCUAUCGUGUUGGUCUAUAGGACCAGAGUAAUGAUUAAGAGGGACAGUCGGGGGCAUUCGUAUUCCGUUGUCAGAGGUGAAAUUCUUGGAUUUACGGAAGACGAACAUCUGCGAAAGCAUUUGCCAAGGAUGUUUUCAUUGA